AUUGAACGCUGGCGGCAGGCUUAACACAUGCAAGUCGAGCGGAGAGAGGUAGCUUGCUACUGAUCUUAGCGGCGGACGGGUGAGUAAUGCUUAGGAAUCUGCCUAUUAGUGGGGGACAACAUUUCGGAAGGAAUGCUAAUACCGCAUACGUCCUACGGGAGAAAGCAGGGGAUCUUCGGACCUUGCGCUAAUAGAUGAGCCUAAGUCGGAUUAGCUAGUGGGUGGGGUAAAGGCCUACCAAGGCGACGAUCUGUAGCGGGGCUGAGAGGAUGAUCCGCCACACUGGGACUGAGACACGGCCCAGACUCCUACGGGAGGCAGCAGUGGGGAAUAUUGGACAAUGGGCGCAAGCCUGAUACAGCCAUGCCGCGUGUGUGAAGAAGGCCUUAUGGUUGUAAAGCACUUUAAGCGAGGAGGAGGUUACUUUAGAUAAUACCUAGAGAUAGUGGACGUUACUCGCAGAAUAAGCACCGGCUAACUCUGUGCCAGCCGCCGCGGUAA
RNAcentral lists this ribosomal RNA (501 nucleotides) under uncultured bacterium. RNAcentral describes it as "partial 16S ribosomal RNA". It matches the Rfam family "Bacterial small subunit ribosomal RNA", at positions 30 to 523 of the family's 1533-position model. The record is from RNAcentral.